ACCUUUAGCUAAACCAGUAUUAAAGGCAACGCCUGCCCAGUGAAUAAUUAAACGGCCGCGGUACCCUAACCGUGCAAAGGUAGCGUAAUCAUUUGUCUAUUAAUUGUAGACCUGUAUGAAAGGCAUAAUGAGGGUUUAACUGUCUCUUUUAGUAAAUCAAUUAAACUGAUCUCCUAGUCCAAAAGCUAGGAUACCAACAUAAGACCAGAAGACCCUGUGAAACUUUAACUAAAAUAUUAAAGCCUAUAAUAACUACUUUAGGUUGGGGCGACCUUGGAAAAUAAAAGAACUUCCAUACACAUAUUAUACAAUAAUAUAUCACCGGCUAACAAGCCUACAACGACCCAGCACAGCUGAUAAUUGAACCAAGCUACUCCAGGGAUAACAGCGCUAUCUUCUUCAAGAGCCCAUAUCAAAAAGAAGGUUUACGACCUCGAUGUUGGAUCAGGACAUCCUAAUGGUGCAACCGCUAUUAAGGGUUCGUUUGUUCAACGAUUAAUAGUCCUACGUGAUCUG
This 516-nucleotide ribosomal RNA is filed under the name Hydrophis curtus (Shaw's sea snake). RNAcentral describes it as "partial 16S ribosomal RNA". It matches the Rfam family "Bacterial large subunit ribosomal RNA", at positions 1816 to 2607 of the family's 2925-position model. The record is from RNAcentral. Lineage: Eukaryota; Metazoa; Chordata; Lepidosauria; Squamata; Elapidae.